CUGAGAGCUGUCCUUCAUAGCAACAGAACUUCAACGAUGACUUUUAUCAUGAGCUUCGUGUGGAUAUUGAUGUCUUUAAUUCACGAAUCCAGAGGACAGGUCACUGUGACUCAGACUCCUGCAGUGAAAGCUGUUCUCCCAGGACAGACAAUCUAUCUGACCUGUAAAACCAGCAGUAAUGUGUAUGAUGCAGGGACCUCGUAUCCCCGUCUAGCCUGGUACCACCAGAAACCUGGAGAAGCUCCUAAACUCUUUAUUUACUAUGCUACAACACUUCAGUCUGGGACUCCUUCUAGAUUCAGUGGUAGUGGAACUCAUAGUGACUUCACUCUGACCAUCAGUGGAGUCCAGGCUGAAGAUGCAGGAGAUUACUACUGUCAGAGUCAACACAACCUCAACAGUGUCUGGGUGUUCACACAGUGAUACAGAGCCGUACAAAAACCUCCCUCAGUCAGACUGCACAGUGACUGUCCUGCUACAGCUGGGACCUACUGCAGGUGCUGAGGGGAGGAGAUGAUCCAGUACAAUGACACAGUGUYUAGUAGAGCUGAACAACAACAGAGUCAAACUAGAGCUAUGUCUAGAAGACCUUAGAUCAUAACUGAUCACUAUAUGUUUCUCCUGACCAUUAACUACAUGUUGACUCUGUUGAGUAACUCAAGGAAAACUUUCAACCAAUCUGAAUAGAGAUGAUGUGCAAUGAUCCAAACCCCUGAAGAUGACCUUAGCUAGGAUUUGAAUGUGUUUUGAAUAGCUAGAAUUUAAUCAACAUGAUUCAAACAAAUACAAUAAAGCCCCCAAACAUUACCCAUACAUUCUCCCUCACACCACUGUGGUAGUUGUCGAGCCAGCUGAGGCGUGGGAACCUAUCAAAUGUCGAGCCUGUCAAAUGUCAAACCUAUCAAAUCAAAUGUCGAGCCAGCUGUAGGCGCGGGGGCCGGUGGCUUCUGAUGAGGCCCGGGGGUCGGUUGCUUCUGAUGAGGCCCGGGGGUCGGUUGCUUCUGAUGAGGCCCGGGGGUCGGUUGCUUCUGCUGAGGCGCAGGGGCUUCUGCUGAGGCGCUUGAACCUGUCGAGCCAGCUGAGGCAUGAUUGGUGGUUUCGGCUGUGGCAUUUGGACCUGGCGUCACCAGAAAAUCCCUGUUGCUUCCAUUUGUUGAGGCAAUAUUCUGUAACGCAGACGCUGGGAGUCAAGAAGCAAGUACAAGGGGUGAAUUUAAUAAUACAAUAAACAUGGAACAAUACAAAACAAGAUUAGCGUCUGGGGAAUUAACCAAUGGGAGUGACAGAUAUACUAUAGGAGAGGUAAUCUUAGAAGUGAUGGAGUGCAGGUGAGUCUCAUGAGUCGCAGGUGCGCGUGAAGAUGGUGGCAUGCAUGGGGAAAAAACUGCCGGGCCCCUAACAUAUAAAUCAGAAUGUUUCAGAUUAAAAUAACGUAUUGAACAAUAUGUGUUAUUAAAUGUACUAACUAUAAGCUUCUGCUGCUAUACUACAAUUGUGCAGAUUCUAGUUUCCACCGUCAUCCUUUGCCAACAUUAACAGUAUUGCAAAUAGUAUUGCAAACAUUUUUGGUUCCUAAUGUUAACAAAAGCUGUCUGUG
Non-coding RNA from Salvelinus sp. IW2-2015, 1597 nucleotides. The record is from the annotation of a RefSeq genome assembly. Lineage: Eukaryota; Metazoa; Chordata; Actinopteri; Salmoniformes; Salmonidae.